UUCUAAUCAUAUGUUUGGCAGCAAGAUGAAAAAUAAUGUAAUGUAGACCAUUUCUAUUUCUAUAUUUAGUUUAUCUGGCAGUGGUUAUGGGUGGUGGCAGUGCAGUAGUCUUAGGGAUGGUGACAAUUGUUGAGUCGCAGUGGAAGUAAAAUAUGAGCAAUGAAGUAAAGAAAUAAUCAUAUGAUACCACACAUUUUUGUUAGUAAUGGACAUUAACUAAAUCAAUAAUGAUUUUUUUAACACAGUUCAUGUUAGAUUACAAUAGAUUUUCUCCAUACAACUAAUAAAGCAACAAGUAAUGUAAUUUAAUCACAAUUGCAUUUACACUUUUGAUUACGUUUUACCAACAUAGCCCAAGUGGUGCAAACAGAUAUGCUAAAGAUGGUAACAUCUCCUUGAUGAAUGCUGUGCUAGGUGCUAACCAUAAACUAAGCCAACAUAGACAGAACUUGAAGUACAGGGACACAUCUUCCAAAAGUUCAGAGCAACAAAGGGAAAGACAUUAUUCGAAAAAUACAACAUCUUAUUUCACCCAAAAGAAAAAAAUAAUUGGACCUUUAAAAAUUUUAAUGCAAUUGCAAAAUAUAAAAUGAUAUUAUAUGUUAAUGGAGAUUGGAGACAAAGGUAGCUGUAGCUUAU
Molecule: long non-coding RNA, 639 nt
Filed under: Manihot esculenta (cassava)
Lineage: Eukaryota; Viridiplantae; Streptophyta; Magnoliopsida; Malpighiales; Euphorbiaceae
Description: long non-coding RNA (MESC_LNC005662)
Source: RNAcentral